UGGUGCGAUGAAUGUGGAGGAGAAAACAAAGAAUAUUGAGUCAGUAUCACUAGCCUCUCUCGGUGCCUCUGUGUGUGUAUAUUAGGUUCAUCAACCAUAACACAACUCAACAGAAUCUAAAAUACUUCAGACGCAACUCCUAAGUUAAUCAACCAAGGUUUACUCACUCUUUCUCUAGUGGUGAAAGAAGAAGAAGAAGAUUUUGAGAAGAUUUUUUAGGUUGUUCAACUAAUUAGUUUCAUGGAUGCCAGGGUACAUAUUGUUCUUUCCAUAGUUUGUAGGCCGACUCAAUAAUCAAGCACGAUGGUAUAUCCUCUCAAAACAAAUAGCAACAGAGCUGGCAGAGAUCACCCAGCUUCAAACCCCUUUGGUUCCUGUGGAAUGGGAUCAAGUUGCCCAAGACUCUUGUCGUGAUAUUUUAGCAGACCGAGAAAUGGCGCAUGUAAAAGAUCCUGAAAGGAAUGUGGAUUUUAUGUGACAACAUUCAAUUCCAUAGGGUCAUGCAGGAGAUCAGGACCUUUGUCACUUCUGAUGCUCAAAAUGUUGGAGAUUAUAUUUUCAGUUUUUCACGGAGCGGAGAAGUUUCAUUCAUUCCUAUUUAAGUCAACGGGCAAAUGGUGUAUGUACAAGAACAUGAAAGGAUCCGGCAAAUUAUGUGAAAAGUAUCAAAUGGUUCCAUGAAUUAAAUGACGAUGGAUUUCCGAAUUCUUUCUUGAAUUUUCAGUGACCUAGGUUACUACGAAAAUUUAAAAAAAAAAAAAAGGUAGAGGGAGAAA
This is a long non-coding RNA of Papaver somniferum (opium poppy), 776 nucleotides long. RefSeq lists it as uncharacterized. Lineage: Eukaryota; Viridiplantae; Streptophyta; Magnoliopsida; Ranunculales; Papaveraceae. The record is from RefSeq and is a predicted model, not a curated record. The transcript has 2 exons.